RNAcentral lists this long non-coding RNA (1038 nucleotides) under Sander lucioperca (pikeperch). Its description in RNAcentral is "lncRNA (ENSSLUG00000000190.1)". Lineage: Eukaryota; Metazoa; Chordata; Actinopteri; Perciformes; Percidae. The record is from RNAcentral.
CGGCGGACUACCAACAAGGAGACAGCACCACCUAGUAAAUGCGACUGGCAGCGAGCUGGAAGACAGACGAGAGACAUAUUUAACCGUUCGUUUUUAGAUUUUUCUCGCUGAUAUUUCGCAUGAAGCAGUUUCCCUCUUGUUUCAGCCACAGAGACCGCGGUGAUGGAAGACGAGGAGAGGCAAAAGAAGCUGGAGGCCGGCAAAGCAAAGUUGGCUGAGUACCGCCAGAGAAAAGCUCACGCUGACUCCCAGAAGAAACUGAAAAAGAAGAAGAAAAAGAAGCCGGGAGAAGACUCUGAGGGGGAUUCGCAGGGAAGGGUGGAGGUCGAGCCGGACCAGUCUGUGGGAGGAGAGGAGGUCUCAGGCCGAGAAAGAGAUGGCUCACAAGAAGGAAAUAAAGACCCAUCGACCACAGAGUUCACCUACGCCAGGACGCUGCGGAGUGGAGAGACUGUCAAGCAUGACCAGACCUACACCAUAGAGCCGGAAAGUGAAGUGUCCACUACUGCUGAAGAUUAUUCCACAGAGGAGGAGGGGGAGCCCCUGCAACAGGUGACAAAGGGAGGUACGAUGGAGGAUGCACUCGCCGCCAAGACCCAGGCAGUGGAGGAGCUGAGUCGAGAGCUUGAAGAAAUCAGGGCUGCCUUUGGCACAGAGGGAGUGCAGCAGCUGCAGGACUUUGAGGCUGCUCUGAAGCAGCGAGAUUGCAUCAUCACCCAGCUCACAGCUAACCUUCAGCAGGCUCGUGAAGAGAAAGACGAGAUCAUGAAAGAAUUCCUGGAACUGACAGAGCAAAGCCAAAAACUACAUAUUCAGUUCCAGCAGCUGCAGGCGGGUGAGACGCUGAGGAACACCAGCCACAGCAGCACAGCAGCUGAUCUUCUGCAGGCCAGGCAGCAGCUCAUGCAGUACCAACCGCAGCUGGAGGAGCUCCAGCACAAGCUCAGUGAGAUGGAGAUGGUAAGAAAAGAAUCAUUCACACAAAGGAUAAACGAAAAGGACCUGCUAAUUGCAGAACAAGAAAAAGUUAUUUUGAGU